GUACACGCUGUGACUAGCAUAUCAAUAAGCGGAGGAAAAGAAACUAACAAGGAUUCCCCUAGUAACGGCGAGUGAAGCGGGAAGAGCUCAAAUUUGAAAUCUUAAAGGGUUUCCCUUUACGAAUUGUAGUUUGAAGAAGUGUUUUCUGUUGAGGUUUUGGUAAAAGUUCUUUGGAAUAGGACAUCAUAGAGGGUGAGAAUCCCGUAUUUGACCUUUACUUUCAACUUUGUGAUACACUUUCAAAGAGUCGGAUUGUUUGGGAAUGCAGUCCAAAAUGGGUGGUAAAUUUCAUCUAAAGCUAAAUAUUGGCGAGAGACCGAUAGCGAACAAGUACCGUGAGGGAAAGAUGAAAAGAACUUUGAAAAGAGAGUUAAACAGUACGUGAAAUUGUCAAAAGGGAAGCGUUUGACACCAGUGUUGUUUUUCUGAAAAUCAACUAAAGAACUGUUUAUGCUAAGCUGUUUAGACUUUAUCAGCUAUACUGUUUAGUUUUGAGCUUUUCUUUAAUGCACUUUUCAGUUAACAAGUCAACAUCAAUUUCUUUGCUGUAAAAAAGCUUGAGGAAGGUGGCUUGAGAUUCGUCUUAAGUGUUUAUAGCCUCUUGCCUAUGCAGUCGGAGAGAUUGAGGUCUGCAGCGUAGAUCCUUCGGGGCUAAAUGCAUUUGUGCUAAGUUAUAGCAUUUCAUAGACAACUUGUUGACUAUGAUUUGUCUUGUAGCUUACUCGCUUAUGUUAUUUUACCUACGCUUAGGAUGUUGACGAGACUGUCGAUCUCAUCUAUACAUGACUCUGUGCAUAUCAAUAAGCGGAGGAAAAGCGUAUUAAAGAUCCAGGUACCUACGCUUAGGAUGUUGACGAGACUGUCGAUCUCAUCUAUACAUGACUCUGUGCAUAUCAAUAAGCGGAGGAAAAGAAGGGCUUCCUCUGUGAUUUUUAUGAGAUGAUUCAUGAUCUGGUCUACAUUCUGGCGGCUGUUGCGCUGCUGUUUGUAUUUAUGGUUCGGCUUGUAGGUGUGGAUGGCUCCUCUAUGGUACCUACGCUUAGGAUGUUGACGAGACUGUCGAUCUC
RNAcentral lists this ribosomal RNA (1067 nucleotides) under uncultured Neocallimastigales. Its description in RNAcentral is "partial large subunit ribosomal RNA". It matches the Rfam family "Eukaryotic large subunit ribosomal RNA", at positions 22 to 647 of the family's 3401-position model. The record is from RNAcentral. Lineage: Eukaryota; Fungi; Neocallimastigomycota; Neocallimastigomycetes; Neocallimastigales.